AGGGCCUGGCGGUGGCCUGCGCGCGCUCAGGGAGUUCGGGCCGGCUGUAGAGUGCCUUGCUUGGACCAGAUGCUGGAGCCAGCAUGGGGAUGACCUGAAGCCUGCCCUUGAGAAGGUCGAGUACAUGUAGGCUGCCCAGGGCCCAUGCCAGGGAUGGGACGCCCUGGAGCCCAGGACAGCCCAGAGGAGAGAGACCCUCAAAGCUCCCCCCCAACCCCCUGCCCUCCGCAGUCAGGUUGUGUGUUCGAGGUCCUUGGGCUGCAACUUGGCCUGAUCCUUGCCUCUGCAGUGGAAGUGCGGAGAUGGCUUCAAGUCUUCCUACUGGGUGGUAAAUAAAAUGAACCUCUUCUGGUACGUUUACGGAUGAGACUUAAUAAUUUCUCUUGGAGAAAUAAUGGGCUCAUUCAAUUCAGAGAUAAGUUUUUAUUCUCUGGGACUCAGACGUUUCCUUUACAGUAAGUAAAAAAAACAACAAUGCUAUUUUCAUUUGGGGGGGGAAAGUGUUGUAAAUUAAAUUCUGAAAUUCAGUUAUAUGACAAUAACAUGCUAAGGCAAGUUAAUCCUUUUGGUAAAAUGAACACCCAAGCAUGUUUGUAUGCAGUUUAGUUUAUGCUUAUUGCUAGACUCUGAAGAGCUGGCACAGAUCUGGGCAAGAAAAAUGUGUCUAUUUCUUCUCAAUAUGUCUACCCUUUGAAUUAAAUAUACUAGAGGUUGAUGUUACUUGGAUGUCGACUUUUUUAGUAGUACUAUGAGACAUGAGGUUUAAUUUUUUUCCAAACUUAUUUCAAAAUGUGUCACAAACCUUUGGCUUGGUAAGGCAUUGAUAAAUUCAAGAUAGAG
Molecule: long non-coding RNA, 840 nt
Organism: Bos taurus (domestic cattle)
Lineage: Eukaryota; Metazoa; Chordata; Mammalia; Artiodactyla; Bovidae
Source: Ensembl